ACCGCAAAGUCUUCCGACAACGAGUGACGAUCGAAUCAUCCAUCCAUCCAUCCAUCCAUAUAUAUAUACAAAUCAGCAUGUCCUCAUGGACGCCACAAUCCAAAAAAAAAAAAAAACACCAAAGAAAAAAAUAAAACGCAGUUUCACUAGGAUCAUCCGUUAUAAUCCUAUGUCCGAUACCUGAAGCCUCUGGCAUGGAAAUCUGUGAGUUCUUCCUGUUCCUCCUCCCCCGAAGUUAGGUUAAUCUUAUUCGCCAUGCCGCUUUCAUUUUCCACCGCUGGCACACGCUCCUUCUCAUCGCGCUUCCGAUUAAGACAAUUUAGGUAAAACCUGAGCGCGAGUGCGCUUACCACUACUAGUGAGUAGCAAACGAGAAUAGCGCGGAAGGCCGUUGGGUAAUGGGGAGCCUCUGCUGAUAUGAAGAAUUGGGGACCCGCACUGGAGGAAUUUUGCUUAGCUAGUGAAAAGAGAGUUGGGAAAGGGAAAAGGGGGGGGGACACCAAUGGACCGAAGCUGGGGGGAUGUCCAAUGGCAGUUGCUAAGUUCGCUUCUCUUGUCUGGGCUUAUAACAAACACGGAGGAGGCACAAGACUCACAUAUUUCCAGCACAAUAGGCUACGAAUAAAAUAGCUGUCAUGGUCAUUUUCUUCGUUGAGCCCUUGUAGUUGACUGCUACCAGCGACAUGGCGAGGGGUAGUGCUGCUGGCCCUGGUGACAUGAGAUAGUAUCCAAAUAAUUUGACGCCCUUGCUGACGUUUGAGUAGAUAAUCGCACUCCCCGCGGCUGGGAAUGCAACGAUUCCGCAGAUAAGAUACGUCGCCACAUUGUGGUAUUUGCUACAGAACCAGCCGCUGUAUCCAGCAGUAUUAGACAGCGAUUUGCAAAGGAGGUUGGACAAGUGAGGAGAGGACAACAGGGAGAUGGCUAAGCUUACGUUAUGAGAACUGUGGAAAUGCACAGGACAGAUGCUGGGGUGAUAAUUAGAGUAGUUUCCAGGGGCGAAAAGCCAAAGCCCUUGAGGACCAGGUUGCCAAAGUUUUGGGUUCCACCGUUGGGUAUCUGUCACGCCAAAGAUUAAUAUUUCUCGAUUUUUUCUUUGAGAAGGAUGGCCAUGCGAGUUUUUGAAGUUCACAUACUUGGGUCAAGACCGAAAUACUAAGAAAUAGGAAGGUUUUAGGAUCCAUGAGGCAUUCGAUCACUUGUUCCCGUUUCCACUCGUGUCGGAUCUUUCCCGUGCCAGCAAACUCCACACGAUGCUCCGCAUAGAUCUUUUCUCUUUCAUUCAGGAAAUCGCAGGAAGCGAUUGUGUCUGGGAGGAGGAAAAGCAAGAAAAACCCCCAAAGGAAGGUAGCCACGCCGAGAACCUGGAAAGUAACGCAGUCAAUGACAGAGGUCUCUUUAUAUGGCCGAUGCCAAAAGCCAAGAAGUUUGAUAGCAGUCCACCGAGGGAGUUCCCCGCAAACCAUACUCCACAGCGCGCAGGAAUCUCCUCACGCGUCCACCACAUCGACGUGACAAAGACGAAUGCCGGCGAAAUUGUUGCCUCUGCAACCCCCAGUAGGAAACGGACACCCAUUAAUCCGCCGAAGUUUGAGCAAGCCGCGGUCAACGCGACAACGGCGCCCCAGAAAAACGUAUUCGCAGAUACAUACUUGCCCACAGGUAACUGUUGGAUCAGGAUAGAUGUGGGAAAAGUCCAGAACAGGUAUCCGAAGUAAAACACGCUGGAAAUCCAGCUGUACUGGGACCCGACAAGAUGCUAUUCCGUCAGUUAGAAGAGAGUGAACCAACGUUCAGGGGUAGAUAGCGCGGGGUCUAUGGCGAUGCUCACAGUGUCUUCCCGAAGCCCAAAAACCGAUGCGCUAGAUAGAAUGACCUUGUCCAUAAAGUUGAAAUUGUACGUCACAAAUAGCAGUGGGAGGAUGCGCCGGUCAAUUUUGCGAACCACAUCCUCUGCGAGCUGCAUUUCGGAACCGUGGCUACCACCACCCCGCACUGCUCCUCGUUCUAGGAGGGAGGGGUUAUCCUUUACCCAUGCCGUAGGAGCCGAAUCGGCUCUGGCACUGGCCAUGUUUUGCUGAGAAGUGGUUUCAAGAGGAGCUCAGAACCUCAUUUCGUGGAAGGUGUAUCUUGACAGGAAGUAACAGCAUUUCGUGUGGGAAAAAGCAGAGCAGGAAGAAAGUUGCGCGCAGGACAGCCUUAAAAAAGCACCUAGAACAAAGAAUACAACAAACAAACACCGUUACACCUGAGAUGUGCGUGGUAUUUAGGGAAAACAAGGUCGAGCGUCUCUGCUGCAGGUAUCCACGGUUGUGAAAGGAGCAUCCCUUGCAAGCGCGGAUUUAUGUCAAGACUAAAGCCGGUGGAUCGCGGGUGCGGUCCGGCGGUGGUGUUGGAGCAGCAGGCUCAAGUUGGUUGGGCGUCGUGUCUCAUGUCUGACGGCGGGAUAUUGGGUGUCACAAACCGUGCAGAUCGUCUGCAUUGUGGAGGCCAAAUCUGCAGGCCUGGGUGCGGUUGAAAAGAUCCCGUCCGCCAGCCAUCGGGGACUUUGUGAAUCCGAACCAGGAGGUGUUGUAGACAAAAUCAGGAUCGCGGGGCGGGGUGCCACUUGCAAUAGUCAAAUGAUGUUUACAGCUUUAUAUAGCGAGGAAUCUGCUGCUAGCUACUGCAUGGCUCUGGUUAAGUUGUAUGUCUGGAUUACAUACGAAAUAUGGGCUAUUCUGAUGCAGUGAUACUCUUCACCCUUUGUUGGGCUCAAAUGGCAAACGUGAUGGUUGUCGAGCUUACUAGUCCAAGCGCUAACAUGCUGAUGGGCGUCUAUGGCGUAUUUAGUCAAAUAUUGAUGGUUAUGCUUCAAGCGCCACUGUCACAGGAGGUCCCAAAUGAGAGGAGAUCAGAUUCGCCAACAUAGAAUAUUUCCUGGAAUCGAUAUAAAAAUAUCUAGUUGGGGGCUGAAACUGGCCAACACAAACAAAAUGAUGUUUAAAACCUCUCAUAAAGCCCUUGCUAUACUCCAGCGGCAUGCCAGUAUAUGCUUGUCUGUAUCUCUUUCUAAUUUUCAGAAAGAGAAAAUAAUGAACCCAAAUGAUGUCAGAAAAGAGAAUGG
RNAcentral lists this small RNA (3106 nucleotides) under Histoplasma capsulatum var. duboisii H88. RNAcentral describes it as "Histoplasma capsulatum H88 hypothetical RNA". Lineage: Eukaryota; Fungi; Ascomycota; Eurotiomycetes; Onygenales; Ajellomycetaceae. The record is from RNAcentral.